Molecule: ribosomal RNA, 271 nt
Filed under: uncultured Pseudomonas sp.
Lineage: Bacteria; Pseudomonadati; Pseudomonadota; Gammaproteobacteria; Pseudomonadales; Pseudomonadaceae
Description: partial 16S ribosomal RNA
Rfam family: Bacterial small subunit ribosomal RNA
Source: RNAcentral
UUAGUACCAGCACGUUAUGGUGGGCACUCUAAGGAGACUGCCGGUGGACAACCGGAGGAAGGUGGGGAUGACGUCAAGUCAUCAUGGCCCUUACGGCCUGGGCUACACACGUGCUACAAUGGUCGGUACAAAGGGUUGCCAAGCCGCGAGGUGGAGCUAAUCCCAUAAAACCGAUCGUAGUCCGGAUCGCAGUCUGCAACUCGACUGCGUGAAGUCGGAAUCGCUAGUAAUCGUGAAUCAGAAUGUCACGGUGAAUACGUUCCCGGGCCUU